GCCGUAUAUUGCGGGAACUACUGUGAAUCGGGUGUUGAAGCUUGGUCUCACGCAAUGGGAAUCUACGAACCGUGUCAGGUUGGGAACAAAGCAGCACUAAGUAGAACCUCUCAUGUGCCGUGAGGGCGCCGGGUGGAGCCUGUGAAGCAGCCUGCGAUAUGCGGU
RNAcentral lists this signal recognition particle RNA (165 nucleotides) under Acetatifactor sp. Its description in RNAcentral is "signal recognition particle sRNA large type". The stretch from base 39 to 138 matches the Rfam family "Bacterial small signal recognition particle RNA". From Rfam's summary of the family: The signal recognition particle (SRP) is a universally conserved ribonucleoprotein involved in the co-translational targeting of proteins to membranes. Archaeal SRP consists of a 7S RNA and homologues of the eukaryotic SRP19 and SRP54 proteins. The record is from RNAcentral. Lineage: Bacteria; Bacillati; Bacillota; Clostridia; Lachnospirales; Lachnospiraceae.